Molecule: ribosomal RNA, 439 nt
Filed under: uncultured bacterium
Lineage: Bacteria
Description: partial 16S ribosomal RNA
Rfam family: Bacterial small subunit ribosomal RNA
Source: RNAcentral
CUACGAGCGGCAGCAGUGGGGAAUCUUGGACAAUGGGCGCAAGCCUGAUCCAGCCAUGCCGCGUGAGUGAUGAAGGCCUUAGGGUCGUAAAGCUCUUUCGCCAGGGAUGAUAAUGACAGUACCUGGUAAAGAAACCCCGGCUAACUCCGUGCCAGCAGCCGCGGUAAUACGGAGGGGGUUAGCGUUGUUCGGAAUUACUGGGCGUAAAGCGCGCGUAGGCGGACCAGAAAGUUGGGGGUGAAAUCCCGGGGCUCGACCCCGGAACGGCCUCCAAAACUCCUGGUCUUGAGUGCGAGAGAGGUGAGUGGAAUUCCGAGUGUAGAGGUGAAAUUCGUAGAUAUUCGGAGGAACACCAGUGGCGAAGGCGACUCACUGGCUCGAUACUGACGCUGAGGUGCGAAAGUGUGGGGAGCAAACAGGAUUAGAUACCCUUGUAGUC